GCAUCCGUAGCUCAACUGGAUAGAGUGUUGCUUUCCGAAGGCAAAGGUUGUGGGUUCAAAUCCCGCCGGGUGCACCA
Molecule: transfer RNA, 77 nt
Filed under: Rickettsiales bacterium
Lineage: Bacteria; Pseudomonadati; Pseudomonadota; Alphaproteobacteria; Rickettsiales
Description: tRNA-Arg
Rfam family: tRNA
About the family: Transfer RNA (tRNA) molecules are approximately 80 nucleotides in length. Their secondary structure includes four short double-helical elements and three loops (D, anti-codon, and T loops).
Source: RNAcentral